Molecule: ribosomal RNA, 165 nt
Filed under: Pleurocarpaea denticulata
Lineage: Eukaryota; Viridiplantae; Streptophyta; Magnoliopsida; Asterales; Asteraceae
Description: 5.8S ribosomal RNA
Rfam family: 5.8S ribosomal RNA
About the family: 5.8S ribosomal RNA (5.8S rRNA) is a component of the large subunit of the eukaryotic ribosome. It is transcribed by RNA polymerase I as part of the 45S precursor that also contains 18S and 28S rRNA. Functionally, it is thought that 5.8S rRNA may be involved in ribosome translocation.
Source: RNAcentral
AAACGACUCUCGGCAACGGAUAUCUCGGCUCACGCAUCGAUGAAGAACGUAGCAAAAUGCGAUACUUGGUGUGAAUUGCAGAAUCCCGUGAACCAUCGAGUUUUUGAACGCAAGUUGCGCCCGAAGCCAUUUGGUUGAGGGCACGUCUGCCUGGGCGUCACGCAU